UCCUAAGGUCGAGAGUUCGAU
Molecule: unclassified non-coding RNA, 21 nt
Filed under: Chlamydomonas reinhardtii
Lineage: Eukaryota; Viridiplantae; Chlorophyta; Chlorophyceae; Chlamydomonadales; Chlamydomonadaceae
Description: small RNA Cre_2584
Source: RNAcentral